CACCGCGGUUAUACGGGUGACCCUAGUAGAUAGCCCUCGGCGUAAAGCGUGGUUAAUAGUACUCCCGGACUAAAGUUAAACAUCUUCCCCGCUGUUAUACGCCCCCGAAGAAAGGAAGCCCAGUAACGAAAGUAACUUUAAAACAAUGAGCCCACGAAAGCCAGGGUA
This 168-nucleotide ribosomal RNA is filed under the name Trimmatom sp. MOOP_6957. Its description in RNAcentral is "partial small subunit ribosomal RNA". The record is from RNAcentral. Lineage: Eukaryota; Metazoa; Chordata; Actinopteri; Gobiiformes; Gobiidae.